CUGAGAGUCUCCCCGACAGAUGUCUGGGUGUGGUGUGUGGACAGUGGUGAAGGAAAGAGCUUCCCACGUCUUUGAGAAGACGGAUCAUAGCAACAAAGUAAAACCAUGUCUUCACUGAAUGUUCUAAAAAGAGGCCUCCAAGCUCCUACAAAAAGUGAAGGUUCCUGGUCCUGUUUCUAGCACUAACCAUCCCCUUGCCUGGCCUCCUGUGGGAAGAAUCUUCAUUGAACAACAUUAGAUGCCAAUUUUUGAGCCAAGAGGGGAGAUGAGGCCUGGCUCCAGAUGCAUUGAAUCUGCUGGCCUUCUGCUCUUCCUUCUCACGUCAGUGUGGGUGAGGCACUGUGUGCAUGUCUGCAACAAGGACAUAUGAGCUCAUCACAAGUGCUUGGCUCUGCUACAUCCAUAGACCACAUGGACAUGAGAGGGCAUGGCUGUUCUAGAA
Molecule: long non-coding RNA, 442 nt
Filed under: Felis catus (domestic cat)
Lineage: Eukaryota; Metazoa; Chordata; Mammalia; Carnivora; Felidae
Description: lncRNA (ENSFCAG00000046952.1)
Source: RNAcentral